GACGAACGCUGGCGGCGUGCUUAACACAUGCAAGUCGUACGGUAAGGCCCUUUCGGGGGUACACGAGUGGCGAACGGGUGAGUAACACGUGAGUAACCUGCCCACAACUUUGGGAUAACGCUAGGAAACUGGUGCUAAUACUGGAUAUGUGCUCCUGCUGCAUGGUGGGGGUUGGAAAGCUCCGGGGGUUGUGGAUGGACUCGCGGGCUAUCUGCUUGUUGGUGGGGUAGUGGCCUACCAAGGCGGCGACGGGUAGCCGGCCUGAGAGGGUGACCGGCCACAUUGGGGCUGAGAUACGGCCCAGACUCCUACGGGAGGCAGCAGUGGGGAAUAUUGCACAAUGGGCGCAAGCCUGAUGCAGCAACGCCGCGGGCGGGAUGACGGCCUUCGGGUUGGAAACCGCUUUCAGCAGGGACGAAGCUUUUUGUGACGGUACCUGCAGAAGAAGCACCGGCUAACUACGUG
This 465-nucleotide ribosomal RNA is filed under the name uncultured bacterium. Its description in RNAcentral is "partial 16S ribosomal RNA". It matches the Rfam family "Bacterial small subunit ribosomal RNA", at positions 28 to 507 of the family's 1533-position model. The record is from RNAcentral.